This 579-nucleotide ribosomal RNA is filed under the name uncultured Serratia sp. RNAcentral's name for it is "bacterial SSU rRNA". It matches the Rfam family "Bacterial small subunit ribosomal RNA", at positions 102 to 677 of the family's 1533-position model. Lineage: Bacteria; Pseudomonadati; Pseudomonadota; Gammaproteobacteria; Enterobacterales; Yersiniaceae. The record is from RNAcentral.
ACGGGUGAGUAAUGUCUGGGAAACUGCCUGAUGGAGGGGGAUAACUACUGGAAACGGUAGCUAAUACCGCAUAACGUCGCAAGACCAAAGAGGGGGACCUUCGGGCCUCUUGCCAUCAGAUGUGCCCAGAUGGGAUUAGCUAGUAGGUGGGGUAAUGGCUCACCUAGGCGACGAUCCCUAGCUGGUCUGAGAGGAUGACCAGCCACACUGGAACUGAGACACGGUCCAGACUCCUACGGGAGGCAGCAGUGGGGAAUAUUGCACAAUGGGCGCAAGCCUGAUGCAGCCAUGCCGCGUGUGUGAAGAAGGCCUUCGGGUUGUAAAGCACUUUCAGCGAGGAGGAAGGUGGUGAGCUUAAUACGCUCAUCAAUUGACGUUACUCGCAGAAGAAGCACCGGCUAACUCCGUGCCAGCAGCCGCGGUAAUACGGAGGGUGCAAGCGUUUAUCGGAAUUACUGGGCGUAAAGCGCACGCAGGCGGUUUGUUAAGUCAGAUGUGAAAUCCCCGGGCUCAACCUGGGAACUGCAUUUGAAACUGGCAAGCUAGAGUCUCGUAGAGGGGGGUAGAAUUCCAGGUGUA